GUACAUACAGCUCAGUGGUAGAGUGUGUGCUUAGCAAGCACAAGGACCUGGGUUCAAUCCCCAGUACCUUCA
RNAcentral lists this transfer RNA (72 nucleotides) under Camelus bactrianus (Bactrian camel). It matches the Rfam family "tRNA". Rfam says of the family: Transfer RNA (tRNA) molecules are approximately 80 nucleotides in length. Their secondary structure includes four short double-helical elements and three loops (D, anti-codon, and T loops). The record is from Rfam by way of RNAcentral. Lineage: Eukaryota; Metazoa; Chordata; Mammalia; Artiodactyla; Camelidae. RNAcentral also lists the same sequence under 3 other names.